RNAcentral lists this ribosomal RNA (253 nucleotides) under uncultured bacterium. Its description in RNAcentral is "partial 16S ribosomal RNA". It matches the Rfam family "Bacterial small subunit ribosomal RNA", at positions 524 to 776 of the family's 1533-position model. The record is from RNAcentral.
UACGUAGGUGGCAAGCGUUGUCCGGAAUUAUUGGGCGUAAAGCGCGCGCAGGCGGUCCUUUAAGUCUGAUGUGAAAGCCCACGGCUCAACCGUGGAGGGUCAUUGGAAACUGGGGGACUUGAGUACAGAAGAGAAGAGUGGAAUUCCACGUGUAGCGGUGAAAUGCGUAGAGAUGUGGAGGAACACCAGUGGCGAAGGCGACUCUUUGGUCUGUAACUGACGCUGAGGCGCGAAAGCGUGGGGAGCAGACAGG